Molecule: ribosomal RNA, 440 nt
Filed under: uncultured bacterium
Lineage: Bacteria
Description: bacterial SSU rRNA
Rfam family: Bacterial small subunit ribosomal RNA
Source: RNAcentral
CCUACGGGUGGCUGCAGUGAGGAAUAUUGGACAAUGGGCGAGAGCCUGAUCCAGCCAUGCCGCGUGCAGGAUGACUGCCCUAUGGGUUGUAAACUGCUUUUAUACAGGAAGAAACGGCUUUACGUGUAGAGCUCCGACGGUACUGUAAGAAUAAGGAUCGGCUAACUCCGUGCCAGCAGCCGCGGUAAUACGGAGGAUCCAAGCGUUAUCCGGAAUCAUUGGGUUUAAAGGGUCCGUAGGUGGAUAAUUAAGUCAGAGGUGAAAUCCUGCAGCUCAACUGUAGAAUUGCCUUUGAUACUGGUUAUCUUGAGUUACUAUGAAGUAGUUAGAAUAUGUAGUGUAGCGGUGAAAUGCAUAGAUAUUACAUAGAAUACCAAUUGCGAAGGCAGAUUACUAAUAGUACACUGACACUGAUGGACGAAAGCGUGGGUAGCGAACGG